UACGUAGGGGCUAGCGUUAUCCGGAAUUACUGGGCGUAAAGGGUGCGUAGGUGGUUUCUUAAGUCAGAGGUGAAAGGCUACGGCUCAACCGUAGUAAGCCUUUGAAACUGGGAAACUUGAGUGCAGGAGAGGAGAGUGGAAUUCCUAGUGUAGCGGUGAAAUGCGUAGAUAUUAGGAGGAACACCAGUUGCGAAGGCGACUUACUGGACUGUAACUGACGCUGAGUCACGAAAGCGUGGGUAGCAAACAGGAUUAGAUACCCCUGCAGUCCCUGAGCGGG
Molecule: ribosomal RNA, 280 nt
Filed under: uncultured prokaryote
Description: partial 16S ribosomal RNA
Rfam family: Bacterial small subunit ribosomal RNA
Source: RNAcentral